UCCUACGGGACGCAGCAGUGGGGAAUAUUGCACAAUGGGGGAAACCCUGAUGCAGCAACGCCGCGUGAGUGAAGAAGUAUUUCGGUAUGUAAAGCUCUAUCAGCAGGGAAGAAGAUGACGGUACCUGAGUAAGAAGCCCCGGCUAAAUACGUGCCAGCAGCCGCGGUAAUACGUAUGGAGCAAGCGUUAUCCGGAUUUACUGGGUGUAAAGGGAGCGCAGGCGGCGCGCCAAGUCUGGUGUGAAACCCCGGGGCUCAACCCCGGGACUGCAUUGG
Molecule: ribosomal RNA, 275 nt
Filed under: uncultured bacterium
Lineage: Bacteria
Description: partial 16S ribosomal RNA
Rfam family: Bacterial small subunit ribosomal RNA
Source: RNAcentral